GAUGAAGAACGUAGCGAAAUGCGAUAAGUAGUGUGAAUUGCAGAAUUCAGUGAAUCAUCGAAUCUUUGAACGCACAUUGCGCCCCUUGGUAUCCCGAGGGGCAUGCCUGUUCGAGCGUCAUUUCACCACUCAAGCCUAGCUUGGUGUUGGGCGACGUCCCCUUUGGGGACGCGCCUCGAAACGCUCGGCGGCGUGGCACCGGCUUUAAGCGUAGCAGAAUCUUUCGCUUUGGAAGUCGGGGCCCCGUCUGCCGGAAGACCUACUCGCAAGGUUGACCUCGGAUCAGGCAGGGAUACCCGCUGAACUUAAGCAUAUCAAUAAGCGGAGGA
Molecule: unclassified non-coding RNA, 329 nt
Filed under: soil metagenome
Description: partial contains 5.8S ribosomal RNA, internal transcribed spacer 2, and large subunit ribosomal RNA
Rfam family: 5.8S ribosomal RNA (bases 1-120)
Source: RNAcentral